Molecule: long non-coding RNA, 428 nt
Filed under: Malus domestica (apple)
Lineage: Eukaryota; Viridiplantae; Streptophyta; Magnoliopsida; Rosales; Rosaceae
Description: long non-coding RNA (MDOM_LNC014850)
Source: RNAcentral
ACCAAACGGUACCGUUUGGUACGCAGACAAGACGGGAAGAAACGAGAUAGAAUAGGAUGGAACAGUGGUUCCAUGUUAUGUUUGGUAUGCGCAGGACAAAACGGGAGAGUUGUUCCGUUUUGCGUUUGAUGCGUAGGACGGAGAACGGGACCAGAAGACAAAGAAAUCGAAACAAGCUCAAUAGGGGGAGUGGAAGCAGAUAAACAGAGGCAGAUUUUUUGUUGCAGAUGCAGUAUUGGGCAUAUCAAAACACUACAAAAUACAAAGAAAUCAAAACAAGCAAAUCAGCAAAGAAUACAAAGAAAUCGAAGCACUACAAAAUACAAAGAAAUUUAGCAGAAUUAGGAACGGGGUGUUAAUGAAAUCGAAACAAGCAAAUCAGAAAAGAAUAAUAAUGCCACAUCAAAUUUACAUCAAAAUUAAUUAAA